This 663-nucleotide ribosomal RNA is filed under the name Enterobacter sp. 111117_136_C_C8. Its description in RNAcentral is "bacterial SSU rRNA". It matches the Rfam family "Bacterial small subunit ribosomal RNA", at positions 86 to 745 of the family's 1533-position model. The record is from RNAcentral. Lineage: Bacteria; Pseudomonadati; Pseudomonadota; Gammaproteobacteria; Enterobacterales; Enterobacteriaceae.
GGGUGACGAGCGGCGGACGGGUGAGUAAUGUCUGGGAAACUGCCUGAUGGAGGGGGAUAACUACUGGAAACGGUAGCUAAUACCGCAUAACGUCGCAAGACCAAAGAGGGGGACCUUCGGGCCUCUUGCCAUCAGAUGUGCCCAGAUGGGAUUAGCUAGUAGGUGGGGUAACGGCUCACCUAGGCGACGAUCCCUAGCUGGUCUGAGAGGAUGACCAGCCACACUGGAACUGAGACACGGUCCAGACUCCUACGGGAGGCAGCAGUGGGGAAUAUUGCACAAUGGGCGCAAGCCUGAUGCAGCCAUGCCGCGUGUAUGAAGAAGGCCUUCGGGUUGUAAAGUACUUUCAGCGGGGAGGAAGGUGUUGAGGUUAAUAACCUCAGCAAUUGACGUUACCCGCAGAAGAAGCACCGGCUAACUCCGUGCCAGCAGCCGCGGUAAUACGGAGGGUGCAAGCGUUAAUCGGAAUUACUGGGCGUAAAGCGCACGCAGGCGGUCUGUCAAGUCGGAUGUGAAAUCCCCGGGCUCAACCUGGGAACUGCAUUCGAAACUGGCAGGCUAGAGUCUUGUAGAGGGGGGUAGAAUUCCAGGUGUAGCGGUGAAAUGCGUAGAGAUCUGGAGGAAUACCGGUGGCGAAGGCGGCCCCCUGGACAAAGACUGACG